UUAAUUGAAACCAAAAAGAGGUAUAUCACUGUUAAUGAUAUCAUUGUAAAUUAUUACCAAUUAAA
Molecule: transfer RNA, 65 nt
Filed under: Hydrochus sp. BMNH 840193
Lineage: Eukaryota; Metazoa; Arthropoda; Insecta; Coleoptera; Hydrochidae
Description: tRNA-Asn
Source: RNAcentral